This 96-nucleotide transfer RNA is filed under the name Streptomyces cacaoi. RNAcentral's name for it is "tRNA-Asp". Lineage: Bacteria; Bacillati; Actinomycetota; Actinomycetes; Kitasatosporales; Streptomycetaceae. The record is from RNAcentral.
GGGGCGGUGCGGAAGCCGGAGGGGUGGUCUUCGCCGUCGACGAGGGCGGCCCGAACGGGACGCUGCGUGCCCUGUUCGGUGCCGGGCUGCGCCGCC